This 253-nucleotide ribosomal RNA is filed under the name uncultured bacterium. RNAcentral describes it as "partial 16S ribosomal RNA". It matches the Rfam family "Bacterial small subunit ribosomal RNA", at positions 524 to 776 of the family's 1533-position model. The record is from RNAcentral.
UACGGAGGGGGCUAGCGUUGUUCGGAAUUACUGGGCGUAAAGCGCACGUAGGCGGCUUUGCAAGUUAGAGGUGAAAGCCCGGGGCUCAACUCCGGAAUUGCCUUUAAAACUGCAUCGCUAGAAUUGUGGAGAGGUAAGUGGAAUUCCGAGUGUAGAGGUGAAAUUCGUAGAUAUUCGGAAGAACACCAGUGGCGAAGGCGACUUACUGGACACAUAUUGACGCUGAGGUGCGGAAGCGUGGGGAGCAAACAGG